RNAcentral lists this ribosomal RNA (332 nucleotides) under uncultured eukaryote. RNAcentral's name for it is "partial 18S ribosomal RNA". It matches the Rfam family "Eukaryotic small subunit ribosomal RNA", at positions 1470 to 1796 of the family's 1831-position model. The record is from RNAcentral.
CCCUUAGAUGUUCUGGGCUGCACACGUGCUACACUGGCAGGUUCAGCGAGCUUCAUGCCCUGAUCUGAAAGGAAUGGGAAAUCUUUUCAAAACCUGCCGUGCUUGGGAUAGAUGUUUGCAAUUAUUCAUCUUCAACGAGGAUUGCCUUGUAAGCGCACGUCAUCAGCGUGCAUUGAAUACGACCCUGUAUUCCGUACACACCGCCCGUCGCUCCUACCGAUUGAAGUUUUCGGUGAGUUGACAGGAGGAUUUUUUUGAAACUGGUUCGCCAGUGGAUUUUAGAUCCAAAUGCCAACGAAUCGAUGGCUUUAGAGGAAGGAGAAGUCGUAACA